Gadus chalcogrammus (walleye pollock) is the source of this 4418-nucleotide long non-coding RNA. RefSeq lists it as uncharacterized. Lineage: Eukaryota; Metazoa; Chordata; Actinopteri; Gadiformes; Gadidae. The transcript has 10 exons. The record is from RefSeq and is a predicted model, not a curated record.
GUGUGUGUGUGUGUGUGUGUGUGUGUGUGUGUGUGUGUCCGGCUUGCUUUGACAGUGAUAAUGUUCAUACGGGGGUCUGUGUGAUUGGCUUGGGAUAUUGGAAUGGUCAACUAAAUCAUACCUGAUGGACGGCCACACGUUUACUUAAGGGCCUCCAGUAGACAUGAAGAGCCCUGAGCGACGCUCCGGAGCGAGAUCCAACACACUGGGCAGGAAGGAGAGUAUCCAACUCAAGUGUAAAAGGAUGCAAGCGGUGUGUUCAGAUCAGUGACUUCAAACUAGGACUACACCAAUCAGGAUCAAUGGAGGAUGGACACCAAAAGGAAUUUCACAAGGAGAGUGACGUUGGAAAGGGACCUAAAUGGAUAUUCAAGAUGACCUUCAGACCUGUAAUGAGACGGCUCUUCCUACCUGGCUGGAUUGAUGGAGAGCCCUGUGGAUCUUGUCUUGCUCUCAGUUGCACGUCUUCUCAUUCUGAACUGUAUUUGUUUCGGACAGGACUAGCUGAAAGAUUGGUUCCCUUAAAUCAGAACCAGCUAGUGCGCUCUUCGUGCUGAAGUUGUGCUCUUCAGCUGAGGAGGUAAGGAAACCUUCACUGGGGCUUCAAGGUGUAAAGAGGAGAAUGUUUCAAAGUGUUCCAUGGUACUCUGAUGAAGACCGUUGUUGUGUUCCACUGGCUGCGAGGAAGAACCCACACAUCUUCCUCUUGGCCUUUCUCCUCUGAGAAUCCUGGCGCCAUCUUGAAGGAUAUUCCAGCUCAUGUAACUGAUGUCGCGAAAGAUUCUCAAACACUUGGUCUCUCCUGAGGGGCGUUUCUAUGGAACUGAAGACUUCAGACGGCACAGUAUCCCAGCAUGCAUCUCUGCUCACUCAGACCACACCCCCAUGAGUAGGAUGUAACACUCUAGUGAUGGAGAUGUAUAGUUUUAUAAGUAACGAGGGAGCAGACUAAGGUGAUAAGAACACAAUGGAAUGUCAAGUCUGUAAAUCUUUAAACCAUGAAGAUGGUUGGAUAGUUCAGGAAUUGGUCUUUUUAUUAUGGGCAGUCCUUUCACUCAGAUGCCCACGUCUCACUGGAGCUGUACAUGUGUUGGCUGGCUGGCAUGAUUUGCUGUUGGUGAUGAGGCGGUCAGGGUGACGUUGCAGGGCUAUGGUCGGCUCUCUGUGAGGUCAACGUUUAGAUUUGCUCUGUAUGGUUUGUACCCUGAAUAAUCUAGAUAAUUGUAAAAUGUAGACAGUUUUGUUUUGAAUGAUUCCAGGAUUUUAGGUUUAAAGUUGUUGUGGGACGUACAUGGUAGUUUGGUUCUUCGUAUGGUUUUGAGUGAUAUAACUUGUACACACUGGGUGCAUAAUAAUGUAAAGGUACACUGAAUAUUAUUAAUGACCAACAGCAACAAACAGAUCUCCUCAAGGUAAGUCUGUUGGCUGUGUUUUAAUGAAGACCAUCGCUGGACUUCAUGAUCUUCCUCCGUUCAGCUCAAGGUGAGGCGCUGGUUCUGUUUUUUCUUUGGUUGGUUCCGGCUGGAAUGUUCGGAUUUCAGUCGGACGGUUUGUGCUUCCCGCCGUGGAAGGUUCUGAGUGAGGUCACUUGAUUUAGUCCCAAUGGUUAGCAUAGAACGUUGUAGUCUUGACAGCCAUAAGAAACCACCUGGCAGUUAGGGAAUCUGGCGGAACGUUCUGGAUUGUAUUUGCGUAACCUCGAGCCGUUGCCAACGGAAACUAUUUUUCAGUCGGUUUCCAUUGGGAAUUAUUUCCAUUGGGAAUUGUUGCCCCUAUCUUAAACAACUAAAGUUUGAUAUUAAAUACAUACUGACACGUACGUCGUACAAUAUGUUGAUCAUUUCCGAUGGUUGCGCCGUACUCUUAACCACGAUGACGUUGCGGGACUCUCGGCGUACAAAACGGCGUUCUACUUGCGGGCCUAUUUUUGACAUCAGGGAAGGCUUAAAAUCAUUUCAAGGUGGAAGAUAAUUUGACAUUUCUUCAACGGAACCCAGCACCUGAAUAUGGCUGAGUAUAUUUGAUUUAAUAUCGAUACUGCUUAGUGUUCUUUGUUACUUCAGCUUUUGUACGUUCUAAAUAUCUGCUGUCAUUAAUUGCCACAGAAGUUAAACCAUACCCAAUGGAAUGACGUUAAACAACGACUUUGGUGCAGAGUUAACAACUGGAUAAUAUAAAAGCUAAAAUAAUGGCCAUCAUUCCCACAUGUUACAGUAGAAGAUACUCUAGAACUGUACAAGGUUAAAAAGGUAACGUGUAGUUUGUCCCAAGGUGUCUGCCUCCUCACCAAGAGCAAGACCUCCACCUCCUCACCCAGAGCCAAACCUCCAGAACAGCUGAAAGGCGAGGCUGAGAGGCUGGGGACCGGAGGCUUGUGGUGCCAGGGUGGACCGGAGACUGAGGCUGGAGACCAGGGGCCUGCAGCACCGGACCAGAGGGUGAUUUACUGCUGAGACCAACUGUUUGUAACCAGACCAGGAAUCCAUGGCUGAAGGAGCUGAUGGAGGAGCCGUGCUGAAGGAGCUGAUGGAGUCGUGCUGAAGGCCCUGCCUGGUUGAGGAGCUGGUGGAGGCCCUGCCUGGUGAAGGACGUCUGUCGUGGGGUAGAUGGAGCUUGACUCUGAAGUGAUCAUCACACUCACUGCCACUUCUCGUAGAAUACUGCUACCACAAACUACCGGCGUUUGUACCAUAUAUACCAGACGACUACAUCUGUUUUACCACAUGUUGAAGCAAGACUUCCGCUGUUUGUUCCAGACCAGGACUCUGUCUGAGGAGAGCUGAUGGAGGAGCUGAGACGCUGGAGGACGACUAGGAAUCGACCAACAAGGAUUCCUCAACGUGUUUCUGGAGCGGAGGCGAGCUGGUAGGGGAGCCGUGAAUCUGGAGGAUGACCAUCACUCUACCAACCAGGAUUACGUUAGGGCCAGACUCACGCUGUUUGUUCAAGACCAGGACUCUGGCUGAGGAGAGCUGCUGGAGGAGCCUAGACUCUGGAGGACGACAUCACUCUACCAACCAGGAUCCUCACCAGGAAUCUGGAGGACUGAUGGAGAAGCCGUACAUCUGGAAGGCAAAUCCUGAGGACAACCAGGACGCUACCAUUAAGGAUUCCGCACACACUUGAGCUGAACCUCACCUGAUCCUGUUUGGUCAGGGGCAGACACACCUGAGCUGAACCCGCCCUGAUCCAGACAUCCUGAUGGUCCCGUCUCCUCAGUUCAUCUGAGCCUCGUCCACCAGAAGACCUGCUGAGCUCAGCAGUCUGAGGCUGAUGGAUCAAUGACCUCCAGUGGGAGUGAUCUUAUUGACCCCACAUGUAACCGUGUGCUUCCACACGCCUUUCCCUCACAUCUGUCACUAACCUCACUACUUCACUACUGCUUCCUCUUCUUCUUCCUUUUCUGUGGUUCGAACCUUUACACGGAAGGCGCGUCUUCCUGCCCUCAGAGGGUUCAGCGUUAGGGUUGAGAGUCAGGGUUUAGAGUCAGGGACAGAGCUGGUCAGGGAGGACUGCUUUUACACAAUGCAGAUGCAGGAGGUGGGGUCUGUUGCGUCCCCAGUUGAUUUACUGCUGAGACCAACUGUGUUUGUAACCAGACAAGGAAUCCAUGGCUGAUGGAGGAGCCGUGCUGAAGGAGCUAAAGGAGUCGUGCUGAAGGCCCUGCCUGAUGGAGGAGCUGGUGGAGGACGUCUGUUACGGGACCAGGACUCUGUCGGAGGAGAGUUGAUAGGAGCUGAGACGCAGGAGGACGACUAGGGAAUCGACCAACAAGGAUUCCUCCUAAACCAGGAAUCUGGAGGACUGAUGGAGAAGCCGUACAUCUGGAAGGCAAAUCCUGAGGACAACCAGGACUCUACCAUCAAGGAUUCCUCACACACCUGAUCUGAACCUCACCUGAUCCUGUUUGGUCGGGGGUAGACACACCUGAGCUGAACCCGCCCUGAUCCUGACAUCCUGCUACUCCCGUCUCCUCAGUUCAUCUGCGCCUCGUCCUCCAGAAGACCUGCUGAGCUCAGCGGUCUGAGGCUGAUGGAUCAAUGACCUCCAGUGGGAGUGAUCUUCUUGACCCCACAUGUAACCGUGUGCUUCCACACGCCUUUCCCUCACAUCUGUCACUAACCUCACUACUUCACUACUGCUUCCUCUUCUUCUUCCUUUUCUGUGGUUCGAACCUUUACACGGAAGGCGCGUCUUCCUGCCCUCAGAGGGUUCAGCGUUAGGGUUGAGAGUCAGGGUUUAGAGUCAGGGACAGAGCUGGUCAGGGAGGACUGCUUUUACACAAACCUCUUCACUUGCUUUCGGAAUGGUGGUGACAUUUUGAAAAGAUUCAUUUGGGAAAAUGUUUUCCUCUGCUUUCCUUUACAAAAUUGUAUUCAACUUCUGUCAAGUGUUUGUUUAUAUAUUAAAAUCCCACA